This 474-nucleotide ribosomal RNA is filed under the name uncultured bacterium. Its description in RNAcentral is "SSU rRNA". It matches the Rfam family "Bacterial small subunit ribosomal RNA", at positions 26 to 518 of the family's 1533-position model. The record is from RNAcentral.
AGGACGAACGCUGGCGGCGUGCUUAACACAUGCAAGUCGAGCGGAAAGGCCCUUCGGGGUACUCGAGCGGCGAACGGGUGAGUAACACGUGAGUAAUCUGCCCCUAGCUCUGGGAUAGCUCCGGGAAACCGGGAUUAAUACCGGAUACGACCACCUUAGACAUCUUUUGUGGUGGAAAGAAUUUCGGCUAGGGAUGAGCUCGCGGCCUAUCAGCUUGUUGGUGGGGUAACGGCCUACCAAGGCGACGACGGGUAGCCGGCCUGAGAGGGCGACCGGCCACACUGGGACUGAGACACGGCCCAGACUCCUACGGGAGGCAGCAGUGGGGAAUAUUGCGCAAUGGGCGAAAGCCUGACGCAGCGACGCCGCGUGGGGAUGAAGGCCUUCGGGUUGUAAACCCCUUUCAGCAGGGACGAAGCGAAAGUGACGGUACCUGCAGAAGAAGGCGCCGGCUAACUACGCGCCAGCAGCCGC